CCUACGGGAGGCAGCAGUGGGGAAUAUUGGGCAAUGGGCGCAAGCCUGACCCAGCAACGCCGCGUGAAGGAAGAAGGCUUUCGGGUUGUAAACUUCUUUUCUGAGGGACGAAGCAAGUGACUGUACAUCAGGAAUAAGCCACGUCUAACUACGUGCCAGCCGCCGCGGUAAUACGUAGGUGGCAAGCGUUAUCCGGAUAUAUGGGGUGUAAAGUGCGUGUAGGCGGGAAAGCAAGUCAGAUGUGAAAACGCAGGGCUCAACCCUGAGCCUGCAUUUGAAACUGGUUUUCUUGAGUGCUGGAGAGGCAAUCGGAAUUCCGGGUGUAGCGGUGAAAUGCGUAGAUAUACGGAGGAACACCAGUGGCGAAGGCGGAUUGCUGGACAGUAACUGACGCUGAGGCGCGAAAGCGUGGGGAGCAAACAGGAUUAGAUACCCGUGUAGUG
RNAcentral lists this ribosomal RNA (443 nucleotides) under uncultured bacterium. RNAcentral's name for it is "partial 16S ribosomal RNA". It matches the Rfam family "Bacterial small subunit ribosomal RNA", at positions 338 to 795 of the family's 1533-position model. The record is from RNAcentral.